AUGCAUUGGUUCGCCUGGUGGAAAAUGUGUGUACCGAAGAAAAAAGGUGACAUGGGGUUUAGAGACCUUCACAACUUUAAUCUUGCUAUGUUAGCAAAGCAGUGUUGGCGACUACUCCAAAAUUCUGAUUCUUUGUGUGCACGAGUUCUGAGGGCAAAAUAUUAUCUCAAUGGAGAUAUUCUGAAAUCUGGCCCCAAGAAAGGUUCUUCGUUCACUUGGCAGAGUAUUGUAGCUGGUAUUCAAACUUUCAGAAGGGGAUGCAUAUGGCGUGUGGGUUCUGGUUCACACAUUAAUAUUUGGGAUGACCCGUGGAUACCCACUAGUAUGAACAGAAAGCCUAUUACCCCUAGGGGGUAUUAUGCUAACAAAAGUGGAAGAGAUAAUUGA
RNAcentral lists this ribosomal RNA (387 nucleotides) under Triticum aestivum (bread wheat). RNAcentral's name for it is "partial small subunit ribosomal RNA". Lineage: Eukaryota; Viridiplantae; Streptophyta; Magnoliopsida; Poales; Poaceae. The record is from RNAcentral.